UCUACGGGAGGCAGCAGUGGGGAAUAUUGCACAAUGGGGGAAACCCUGAUGCAGCGACGCCGCGUGAGUGAAGAAGUAUUUCGGUAUGUAAAGCUCUAUCAGCAGGGAAGAAAUAGCGACCUUUGGGUCGCCAGACGGUACCUGAUUAAGAAGCCCCGGCUAACUACGUGCCAGCAGCCGCGGUAAUACGUAGGGGGCAAGCGUUAUCCGGAUUCACUGGGUGUAAAGGGAGCGUAGACGGCGAGACAAGUCUGGAGUGAAAGGACGGGGCCCAACCCCGGGACUGCUCUGGAAACUGCCUGGCUGGAGUACAGGAGAGGUAAGUGGAAUUCCUAGUGUAGCGGUGAAAUGCGUAGAUAUUAGGAGGAACACCAGUGGCGAAGGCGGCUUACUGGACUGUAACUGACGUUGAGGCUCGAAAGCGUGGGGAGCAAACAGGAUUAGAUACCCCUGUAGUC
This 458-nucleotide ribosomal RNA is filed under the name uncultured bacterium. RNAcentral describes it as "partial 16S ribosomal RNA". It matches the Rfam family "Bacterial small subunit ribosomal RNA", at positions 338 to 795 of the family's 1533-position model. The record is from RNAcentral.